Betta splendens (Siamese fighting fish) is the source of this 1242-nucleotide long non-coding RNA. NCBI's taxonomy places the organism in Eukaryota, Metazoa, Chordata, Actinopteri, Anabantiformes, Osphronemidae. The record is from Ensembl.
AUAGCACUUUAGGAAGAGCAAGCGCUUAGCAGCUCAGGGCCCGCUGGUACCAGUCAGGGAUGAGGAGGCUACAGGAGCUGGAGCAGCAGCAGCAGCAGCAGCAGCAGCAGGAGAAGCAGGAGAUUUGUCUGAGGGGGGUGGCAGGGAAGGACCAGAAAGACAUCAGGAGCAAGAUGGAGGGGGUAGCACAUCAUCUCGUCUAAUAGAGAAUGCUACUGUAAGUAUCGAUGCACAAAAUUUGUGUGCUAAUCUCCACUGUCAGUUUUAAGUUGCUAAAUACAUUGGCAUUGACGUUUUCCUGGAAUAAUGCUUGUUGGUUUUAUUUGUUUUUUUUUAACAUAGCUCUAUGGCACUGUGGUCUGUAAAAAAUGACCAUAUUCAUCUCUGUCUUUGCAGUUAAGAGCAAAACAGCGGCCAGCAGAGACUCUGAGGUACCAAGUGAAGGAACCUUCAGUAUUGGUGCGAAAACUGUUUAGCAGCAGAGGACGUGCAUCAGGCUCGGGAAAGCUCCUUUUCCAACCAUCAAUUGGUAGUUUGUGUGUAUGUACAUAACUGGGUUUUGUUUUUGUCUUCGUUUAUGUAAUGAAAAACUAUCUCUUGUUUUCACAGAGCAAUACUUGACUGUUUACAAAAAUAAACUAGAAGGAGAGCAGCCUUCAAAGAAAAAAAAAAGAGAAUGCUGUAUCAGCGAUCAGCCGCAUCAAAGGAUUCCCCUGGUACAUGGCAGAAGGCCACACAGCCACUGAGUCCUGGCAGUUCCUGGACAACAGUAAAAGAAUCAGACAAUGGGGCCUUUUCUGUCAGGCGCAGGGGAGAACGGGCCUCACACUCAACUUUUACCUCCGCAAUGUCUCUGACUUUGUGGGGUACCUCUCCUCUCACCCUCCACCUCUCUGUGAGCUGUCACGGUCACAGCUCAACAGACUUAUGAUGGACACCAGGGUGUCUUCUUCCACUUUGCCUGAGCGCCCAUCCUUCCCCUCGUCCCAGGCUGCAACUGUCCUGCACCAUGCUGCCUCUGGUCCUAGUCCAGCUGUCCCUGCACCCACUCCUGGUUUGAUGGAGGACAUUUGUUUGGAGCCUUGCCUGACUGAACAUUUAACAAUUAACCUGGCAGACCUGUUUGAUCCAAACAAUACCCUGCUUGAAAUGUUUCAAAUGUGAACAACUGUAAUUACAAGUUCAAGUAUUGAAUAGUAGCUGUUCUUGUUCGCUAAUGUAAUAAAAACUGGUUUGUUUACA